Neofelis nebulosa (Clouded leopard) is the source of this 677-nucleotide long non-coding RNA. RefSeq lists it as uncharacterized. The record is from RefSeq and is a predicted model, not a curated record. The transcript has 3 exons. Lineage: Eukaryota; Metazoa; Chordata; Mammalia; Carnivora; Felidae.
CCCACGCGCGCGGCUCCAGGGGGGGGGGGGUGGCGCGCGGAGGAGCAGAGGGUCGCAUUUCCAAGCUCGGGGGAUCCUCAUUGCGGACCGGUUUUCUUUGUCUCCCCCUCUGUCUCUAAGGAUGCUCAGGACCCGGUCGUUAGCGGCAGCCAGAAGAGCGGGCUCGGGGUCAAGGUUGACACGGAGGCUAAAAGCCAGCCAGAGAAAGAAAAGCAGAACACGCAGAGAGAGCAUCCCAGAGGCUAUUCUUGAAUGAUCCACUCCGUAAUUCUUGUACUUCAUCGCACAAUAUCUCAAGUUGAAAAUUAUUUUCUUUGCCGGCGUGACGGAAACCCAAGUGUCUACCGUGAUGCAGCCACUACGGAAAACAGUAUGGUCGUGUCUCAAAACGUUAAAAAUAGGAUUACCAGAGGACCCAGCAGUCCCACUUCUGGGUAUAUACUCAAAAGAAGCGAAAGAGGCUCAUGAAGAGAUAUCUGUACAUGGAUGAACCUGGAGGACGUGCUAAGUGAAAUAAGCCAGUUACGAGAAGACAAACACUGCGUGAUUCUACCUAAAUGAAGCUUGAUUACUCCAAGCUUUAAAAGAAACUGAGGAUUACAAGUUUGCAGGAUAUCAGCUUGGAUGGAGCACUGUUCACGAACACAAAAUCAUGAAGGUACGCUGCUCCUUCAGAA